This 468-nucleotide ribosomal RNA is filed under the name uncultured bacterium. RNAcentral's name for it is "partial 16S ribosomal RNA". It matches the Rfam family "Bacterial small subunit ribosomal RNA", at positions 28 to 507 of the family's 1533-position model. The record is from RNAcentral.
GACGAACGCUGGCGGCGUGCUUAACACAUGCAAGUCGAACGGAAAGGCCCUGCUUUUGUGGGGUGCUCGAGUGGCGAACGGGUGAGUAACACGUGAGUAACCUGCCCUUGACUUUGGGAUAACUUCAGGAAACUGGGGCUAAUACCGGAUAGGAGCUCCUGCUGCAUGGUGGGGGUUGGAAAGUUUCGGCGGUUGGGGAUGGACUCGCGGCUUAUCAGCUUGUUGGUGGGGUAGUGGCUUACCAAGGCUUUGACGGGUAGCCGGCCUGAGAGGGUGACCGGCCACAUUGGGACUGAGAUACGGCCCAGACUCCUACGGGAGGCAGCAGUGGGGAAUAUUGCACAAUGGGCGGAAGCCUGAUGCAGCAACGCCGCGUGCGGGAUGACAGCCUUCGGGUUGUAAACCGCUUUCGCCUGUGACGAAGCGUGAGUGGCGGUAAUGGGUAAAGAAGCACCGGCUAACUACGUG